AACUGUGCAACCGAAAGUGACACCUCUGAUAGAAUAAUAUAGCAGGAGCAUUGCUGGAGAGCACGUGUAGGAAGACUGCCUUUACGGAGGAACGUUCAGGUGCGGUGACGUGGGCGAGUAGCUGUUCCAAUAGCAGCUGGAGCACAAGAUGCCACGAUCCUCCUUGUUCAACCUGGCGUAAGGCUUUAUCUCCGCGACGAUCAGUCCUAUUAUCACACCUCCAUACACCGCCGCGAGUGCGUAAAACCUCGACGAGCUCGUGAUGUCUUCAUACCAUGAAUAAGGAUAAUCUUGGCAGAUAGAAAUUAACCAUAUAUUUAUUUAAUAAUUAGUAUAUUAACUAAAAAUUAAAGAUUGGUAAUUUAUUAACAAUUUUUGAACGUAACAUUUAUAUAAUAUUAUUAACAAUUUUUUUGAAAAUAAUGUAAACAGAAAAGAUGUCAUUUCUAAGAUACAUUUCUAAUAAUUAUAUUUUAAAUAUAUUUCUAUUAGAUACAGAGUUGUAUGUUUAUAUGUAAAAUAUAAUCUACAUUACAUGUGUACAAUAUAAACCAUGUUUUACAUGUCAUCUAUAUAAACAAUAAACUGUAGAUCAUAGAAGAUUAAAAAAUAGUAAAAAUAUUUUGUUUUUAAUAUUUUAAAUACUAUAAUUUUUUUAUUUUAUCAAUAUUAAAGUUAGAUGUAUUAAUAAUCUUGAUAAUCUUAUGUUAUAACUUAUUCUUUUAUGUUAUCCAAUUUAUAAUAUUACUUAUAAACUUGUAUUGUCUCUAUGAAAAAGAAUUGUAUAAACCUAAAGUAAACAAUCAUAAUUUUGAUAUUUAUGCCACAAUUCUGAUCAAGAUAUAAGUACAUAAAUCUAAAUUCUGAAAUUCUAAAAUUUAAUGAAACAGUACAUCUGUUAUUAAUGAUAUGUAUCAUCUUUAUUGUCUGAAGAUUUGCUCCAUAAAUGUUUGUUUUGAAACUCAAGAUAUAUAAUAUAGAUAAUAGCGUUUGUAUUGUUACAUCGCAGCUCUUUCUCUUCAGGUGCAAAGCAUUACAUUUAGAUACAUUUCCGUCCUCUCAUCUUCCCUAAAUUAUUUACAUUUUCUUUAUUGUUGGAGUCCCAA
Monomorium pharaonis (pharaoh ant) is the source of this 1106-nucleotide long non-coding RNA. RefSeq lists it as uncharacterized. The transcript has 2 exons. The record is from RefSeq and is a predicted model, not a curated record. NCBI's taxonomy places the organism in Eukaryota, Metazoa, Arthropoda, Insecta, Hymenoptera, Formicidae.